AGAAGAAGAGUCUGCUGUAGAGAACCUGGUGAAAAUCAUCAGCUCCCCGUUUCUCCCACUGACCUCAGAGAACACCUCGCUUCUUUGGCUGAAGCAUAUAAUUUCCUACCUAGGACUUGAGUGGUGCCUCAGUCCUCACCAGCAAGAACAAGACAAGAGUGGCUCCUAGGACAUAUCUGAAUCCACAGGAAGAGACUGAGGUGCAAAGACUUGCUUGGCCUCCAUCCGGUGCCCUGAUUGCUUUUGAACUUUCUCCAGUCAAAGGU
Bubalus bubalis (water buffalo) is the source of this 266-nucleotide long non-coding RNA. RefSeq lists it as uncharacterized. The transcript has 3 exons. NCBI's taxonomy places the organism in Eukaryota, Metazoa, Chordata, Mammalia, Artiodactyla, Bovidae. The record is from RefSeq and is a predicted model, not a curated record.